UACAUAUAAUUAUAUAAUCGUAUUCUUAAACAUUAAAAAAGUAUUCUAGAACUUUUCAUAUUUUUUAAAUCCAAAAAACCUUUGGAAAAUACAAUUGUUUACCAGUUAUCCGGGUAAUCAAAUCAAACAGUGAAAAACUGAAUAAUCUGUGGAAGAUUUAAUUUUAUUUAAAUUUUUAAGGAGUCUAGUGUUAUAACAUUUCAUUAAAAGCAAAAGUUUGAUCUUUUAAUUAAAGAAAACAUUUAGGUUCUCGGAUUUCUAGUUUUUUGAAGAUACUGUUAACAAUUGGGCAAUUUACUCUAUUUGUUUGUUCAAUUGUAAAUUAUCAUAAUUUCAAUAACUCGCAGAUGCACUUUAAACAGAAAUAUUAACUUAAUUAAUAUUUCUUUCUUGUGACUAUUGAUUGCCACGUUCGGCAAUUGGAAUCGCGUGACGGCAAUUCCCCGCGAGACAUCUCUAUGGCGGCGUUGAGAAAACUGCGGGACCCAUUGAAUCACGAAGCAAUCGAGUCUGACGACUGAGUCGGGGAUAUUCGAGGUCGUUCUUCUCCUGUCUCUCGUUCGCGCCAUGCCAUUUGUCUUCCCCGCCCGUGAAAGACUUUGCUCCAACAGCCGCGCCGCGCCGCUCCCGAGACGGCUCGCGGGCUCGUCUCCGAACAAAAUCAUAAAAGUUUUAGCCUACUGCAACUCGGAAAUGCGAUCUCUCACGUGUACCUGAGAAGGUUUCUGAUGUUAGGUCAUUUCGUGACGCAUUUAACCGCUUUGUUACACCUUUCCUGCACGUAGACACUGUACAGACAAGGAAUCUAAGGAAAGAAUUUGUAAAAUGAUAACAUAAUUGCAUUUCUUUGCAAAACUUGAAAUCAAUUUUUUUUCUACUAACACUAAAUAACAAAUUUUGAUCAAUUUUUUGUUUCUCAAUAAAUAAUAGGUGGUAAUUUCUUGUAAGAUUGUCUACAUAAAGAGAUAAGUAUGCUUUUCAAAAAAUUCUAUUACCAUUAAAUUUUUAAAAACUUUGUUUUGAAUUUCUUACUAUAACAAAGUCGUAAUAUAUGUAAUAUGCAGUUAUAAGAGAGAAAUUUGAAUACUAUUUUACAAUAUAUUAAAAUAAAUAAUGCUUCUUUUAUUAUUUGUGUACAGGAUGUUGCAGCAACAUAUAGGUCAGUAUGACGAGUUAUCUUCUCUAACAGAUGCUCAUGGUCGUUCACAAUUGAAUAGACUUUGGCGGCAUAAUCAUCUAUCUUUUUUAUUUUUAUUUUUUUAUUCUGUUAUAAAAUCAUGUGCUAGUGAAAAACCCGCCAUACUAACCUGUAUAUUGAUGCCAUACUCUAUAAUUUAAAGUAAUAUACUGAAAUAAUAAAGAACAAUAAGUAAAAUGAACUUAUUUUAAUUCUCGAAAAUAAAACUAAUAUAUUUUUUACUCUAGGGAAGCUGCUUUUAGUUAAAAACUUAACAUUUACAUUCGUCAAUAAUGGUGUUCAUCUACUGUAAAUUUUUAAUUAUGACGUAUUUAAUACUUAAAAUGUUAUUUAUAAAAAUAUGAUGACAUUGCAUGAUAGAUCGAAGAGAAAUAGAAAUGGUAAUGUGGCUCUUCUAUUAAAAUAGAUUUGUAAUAAAAUAAAAAAUAGGUUUUAUUUAAAAAACGCAGUUUCGUCAAAAUUAUAUAAUUAAUUAGAAUGAAGAAAAAAUAUUUCAUAGCAUAUGCAAAUAUAUGUACGCAUCUAUAUAAUCUUUUCAAUAUACAGAUUGUAGUAUUAAAGUUUGUAAUACAUGUAGUGUGCAAACUAUAAAUUAACAAUAAAACUAUAAUUAGCUUAUCGAAUAACUAUUUCGAUAAAACUUUGGAAAAGAAGCUAUAUUAGACCUAUUGAGACGUCAGUUCUGAGUCAGGUAUAUUAGCAAAAUCUCAUGCUAUUGUUUAGUUUUUUUGUAUAAUUCGAAAUUAUAUAACCAAAUAAAAGUUAAAUAAUAAAAAAACUAUUACGUACAUAUAUUGGUGUGAUAACAUGAAUACAUUUAAAAAGAAUGAGAUAUGUGCAAUUUAAUACUAAAACAGUUCUCGAAAAGAUUCAAAAUGUUAAGUAAAAAUGUCUUAUAACAAAUGUUGACUUUUUUCGUAUUAGGGUAUUAUUUAAAGCUACUACGUAAUUACGGACUAUUAAACAAAUGUAAUCAUUAGAAUUCCUCAUCUAUAUAUUAACGUCUUAUAAGUUAGCGGAACAAAAUGAACAGAAUUAAUUGUUAAUAAUAUUUUUAUUUGAUGCUCAUUUGUUGCUAAAAAGUUGCGAAAGAAAAAAAUUUGUUGCGCUGUUAGUUUUUUCUUAAAGCAAUGUUCCGCUAAAGGAAGAUUAAGUUAGCGGAACAAUAUAUAAAAAAUAAUAAAAUAUGUAAUAAUAACAUGGGAAUAUUGCAAAUUUGUUGUAAUGACACAAUAAAGCAUAGGGGGAAACAAAUACAAACAAAAAAUCAUUAAGUAUUAAAAACAGAAACUUUGUAAAUCAUUAUAAUUUAAUCUUUAAUCAUCUUCAUUGUUCAUCGUUCAGAUCACAAUAAAUUGCGUCAACAGAAUAUUAAUUUGUGAUAAAUAGUUGUGACAAAUAAUUAGCCACAGUUUUUGUUAAGCAAAAUUGUUUUCAAAGUUAAAUUAUUCUCUCUUUCUCUAUUUAUCGUACGCGUCGAAAAGGCAAACAUUGCGCAAGUUUAUCCGUCGAUGAAAAUUUGGGUAUAAUUCCUCACAUUGAAGCGUAAUUAAUUAAUGCAGAAGUGGCGCUUCAAUGUUCAGCUAUUCGCAAUCGCAUUUUCUAGAUUGAAGGUAAUUAAGAGCUUAUUAUUAUAUUGUAACGCGUAUUAAAACGCGCACACACGCGUUUACGUAUAUCGUAGCAAUUUGUUACGCUUUGUGAAUUAGUUGCCAGCAAAUUUAUUAGUUGUUGAAUUUAUUAGCAUAAUUUUCCCUCCAGCACGCUAACGAACCUUCUCGCGUUUCGAUCUACACGUGAUUUUCUCGUAAACAUAGCCCGCAGUUGCACCUCGCGCUCGUGUUUUUCAAACGCGUUGUUUUCGCACCUAUCGGAUUUCUUUAAUCGAUGUUUGCAUAUUUAAAUAAUUUAAGUGUGAAGCCAAAUGGGGAUUAAGUAUGAAAUAUACGGUUCUCUAAAACCUAUAGUAAAAAGUCCUGCUGAUCUAAAUUUGUAGUAAUGUAAAUUAUCAAAAAACGGAGCAUCUUCGCGAAUUAAGCUUUACUGUUUUGCAAACAAAUAGCGAAAUCUAAUUUUACAUUGAAAUAUAAAUGGUUGUUACUUGCAAAGAGAGAUCUAAGAGAGUUAUCAAUUAAAACGAUAUCUAAUCCUACACUAAAGAGUUUCGAAUACAAUAGAAAAACCAAAAAAA
RNAcentral lists this long non-coding RNA (3389 nucleotides) under Monomorium pharaonis (pharaoh ant). RNAcentral's name for it is "uncharacterized LOC118645483". The record is from RNAcentral. Lineage: Eukaryota; Metazoa; Arthropoda; Insecta; Hymenoptera; Formicidae.